Molecule: ribosomal RNA, 429 nt
Filed under: Bacteroidota bacterium
Lineage: Bacteria; Pseudomonadati; Bacteroidota
Description: Bacteroidetes bacterium partial 16S ribosomal RNA
Rfam family: Bacterial small subunit ribosomal RNA
Source: RNAcentral
UAGGGAAUCUUCCGCAAUGGACGCAAGUCUGACGGAGCAACGCCGCGUGAGUGAAGAAGGAUUUCGGUUCGUAAAACUCUGUUGUUAGAGAAGAACAGCGCAUAGAGUAACUGUUAUGCGUGUGACGGUAUCUAACCAGAAAGCCACGGCUAACUACGUGCCAGCAGCCGCGGCAAUACGUAGGUGGCAAGCGUUGUCCGGAUUUAUUGGGCGUAAAGCGAGCGCAGGCGGUCAAUUAAGUCUGAUGUGAAAGCCCCCGGCUCAACCGGGGAGGGUCAUUGGAAACUGGUUGACUUGAGUGCAGAAGAGGAGAGUGGAAUUCCAUGUGUAGCGGUGAAAUGCGUAGAUAUAUGGAGGAACACCGGUGGCGAAAGCGGCUCUCUGGUCUGUAACUGACGCGGAGGCUCGAAAGCGUGGGGAGCGAACAGG